This 357-nucleotide ribosomal RNA is filed under the name uncultured Funneliformis. Its description in RNAcentral is "SSU rRNA". It matches the Rfam family "Eukaryotic small subunit ribosomal RNA", at positions 572 to 929 of the family's 1831-position model. The record is from RNAcentral. Lineage: Eukaryota; Fungi; Glomeromycota; Glomeromycetes; Glomerales; Glomeraceae.
AUCCCCCCCGGUAAUUCCAGCUCCAAUAGCGUAUAUUAAAGUUGUUGCAGUUAAAAAGCUCGUAGUUGAAUUUCGGGAUCAAUAUUUCGGUCAUGCCGUUGGUAUGCACUGUUAUCAUUGAUUUCUCACCUUCUAAAGAACCGUAAUGCCAUUAAUUUGGUGUUACGGGGAAUUAGGACUGUUACCUUGAAAAAUUUAGAGUGUUUAAAGCAGGCUCACGCUUGAAUACAUUAGCAUGGAAUAAUGAAAUAGGACAUCCGAUUCUAUUUUGUUGGUUUCUAGGAUCGAUGUAAUGAUUAAUAGGGAUAGUUGGGGGCAUUAGUAUUCAAUUGUCAGAGGUGAAAUUCUUGGAUUUAU